AUUGAACGCUAGCGGGAUGCUUUACACAUGCAAGUCGAUCGGCAGCGCGGACUUCGGUCUGGCGGCGAGUGGCGAACGGGUGAGUAAUGUAUCGGAACGUGCCCAGUAGCGGGGGAUAACUACGCGAAAGCGUAGCUAAUACCGCAUACGCCCUACGGGGGAAAGCAGGGGAUCGUAAGACCUUGCACUAUUGGAGCGGCCGAUAUCGGAUUAGCUAGUUGGUGAGGUAACGGCUCACCAAGGCGACGAUCCGUAGCUGGUUUGAGAGGACGACCAGCCACACUGGGACUGAGACACGGCCCAGACUCCUACGGGAGGCAGCAGUGGGGAAUUUUGGACAAUGGGGGCAACCCUGAUCCAGCCAUCCCGCGUGUGCGAUGAAGGCCUUCGGGUUGUAAAGCACUUUUGGCAGGAAAGAAACGUCGCGGGCUAAUACCCCGUGGAACUGACGGUACCUGCAGAAUAAGCACCGGCUAACUACGUG
Molecule: ribosomal RNA, 484 nt
Filed under: uncultured bacterium
Lineage: Bacteria
Description: partial 16S ribosomal RNA
Rfam family: Bacterial small subunit ribosomal RNA
Source: RNAcentral